Molecule: small nucleolar RNA, 83 nt
Filed under: Genlisea aurea
Lineage: Eukaryota; Viridiplantae; Streptophyta; Magnoliopsida; Lamiales; Lentibulariaceae
Source: RNAcentral
GUGCAUAUGAUGAUGAAUAAUUGUGAUGCUUAUUUAUAUCCGUGAAGCCAACAAUAAUUCGAGCUUUUUAAAUCUGAUGCUGU